GAUCUUAUGCUUGUCAGUCCUGCUGAGCAUUCAGGCCACUUACAGACUCCAAGAAGAGUCCUGUCAGCCACGGCUCUGACUUGUUGGCCCUCCCGGCAUUUAUUUAGCACACAUUUAAUGACAGAAGUCUCAGGCUGGAAACACUCUUUUUGUAGAACAUACAAAUGGACAUUUCUAAGCACAUUGAGGCCUAUAAUGAAAAAUCAAAUAUCCCACAAUGAAAACUAGAAGGAAGCUAUCUGUGAUAAUGCUUUGUGGUGUAUGGAUUCAUCUCACUGACUGAAACCUGAGUUUUGAUUCACCAGGUUGGAAACCUUCUUUUUGUAAAACCUACAGUGGGACAUUUCUGAGCUCAUUGAGGCUUGUAGUGAAAAACUGAAUUUCCUGCAAUAAAAACCGAAAACAGGUUAUCUGUGAAAGUGAUUUGUGAUGUGCAGAUUCAUCUCAUGAAAAUAAACCUCUGCUUUGAUUGAAUAAAUGGGAAGAACUUUUUUGUAGAAAUUUCUGAGCUCCUUUAGGUCUAUAGAAAAAUAAUCUAAUAUCCUGCAAACAAAACUAGAAACAAGCUACAUGUGAAGGUGCUUUCUGAUGUGUGAAUUCAUCUCACCAAAUGAAACUCGUGUUUUGAUUUAGUAGGUUGAAAACAAUCUUUUUGAAGAAUAUACGAAGGGACAUUACUGAGCUUAUUGAGGCUUAUAUUGAAAAACUGAAUAUCCCACAAAAUAAACUAGAAACAAGUGAUCUGUGAAAAUAGUUGGCCAUGUGUAAAUUUAUCUCACACAGUUAAACCCUUUUUUUUGACUCAACAAAUUAGAACUCUUUUUGUAGAAUCUAUGAAGGGACAUUUCUGAGCUCAUUGAGGCCUAUCGUGAAAAACUGAAUAUCCCGUGAUGAAAACUAGAAAGAAGCUAUCUGUGAAAAUAUUUAGCAAUGUGUUCUUUCAUCUCACAGAGUUAAAUCUUUUUUUUUUUUUUUGAUUCACCAUAUUGGAAAUACUCUUUUUGUAGAAUCUACAAAGAAACAUUUCUGAGCCCAUUGAAGCCUAUAGUAAACAAACAAAUAUUCUGCAGUUGAAACUAUAAACAAUCUCUUUGAAAAUGCCUUGUGAUGUGUGGAUGCAUCUCAUUAAAAGGAGCCUGUGUUUUGAUUCACCAGAUUGGAAACACUUUUUUGUAGAAUAUACGAUGGGAUGUAUCUGAGCCCAUUGAGGCCUAUAGUAAAAAAUGGAAUAUCUUGCAAUAAAAAGCUAGAAAUGAGCUAUCUUUGAAUAUGCUUUCUGAUGUGUGGAUUCAUCUCACAGAGUUACACCUUAUUUUUGACUCACCAAGAUGGAAAUACUUUUUUUGUAGAAUCUAUGAUAGGACAUUUCUGAGUCUAUUGAUGUGUAUAGUGCCAAACAGAAUAUCCCACAAUAAAAACUAGAAACAAGCUAUCUGGGAAAAUGCCUUGUGAUGUUUUCAUUCAUCUUACAGAGUUAAACCAUUGUUGUAAUUAAACAGGUUGGAAACACUCUCUUUGUAGAAACUACGAAUUGACAUUUCUGAGCCCUUUGAGGCCUACAGUGAAAAACAGAAUAUUCAGUGAUUAAAAUUAAAAACUUUCUGUCUGUGAAAAUGCUUUGUGAUGUGUGGAAGCAUCUCAUAGAGUUAAACCUUUGUUUUGGUUCAACAGGUUGGAAACACUUUUUUAGUAGAAUCUAUGAGAAAAUCUUUGUGAACCCAAUGAGGCCUCUGUGUGUGUGUUUGUGUGUGGGGGGGUGGGGGGGCGGGAAACAACGAGGAUUUCAUGAUGGAAACUGGAAAGAACCAUCUGUGAAAAUGGUUUGUGAUGUGGGGAUUCACCUCACAGAAUUAAACCUUUGGUUUGAUAGAACAGAUUGAAAACACUGUUUUUGUACAAUCUAAAAAGAGACAUUUCUGAGCCCAUUGAAGCCUGAAGUGAAAAACCAAGGGUCUCACAAUAAAAACGAAUUACAAGCUAUCUGUGAAAAUGCUUAGCAAUGUCCGGAUUCAUCUCACUGAAUAGACCCUGUGUUUUGAUUCACCAGGUUGGAAACUCUUUCUGCAGAAUCUGCAAAGAAAUAUUUCUGAGCCCAUUGAGGCCUACAGUGGAAAACUGAAUAUUCUGUGAUAAAACUAGAAACACCCUAUCUGUGAAAAUGCUUUGUGAUGUGUGGAUUUUCCUCAUCAAAUGGAACCUGUGUUUUGACUCACAAGGGUGAAACAUUAUUUUAGUAGAAUCUAGGAAGAAACAUAUCUGAGCCCAUUUAUGCCUACAGGGAGAAACUGAAUACCCUGCAAUAAAAAGUAGACAGAAGCUAUUUGUAAAAAUGCUUUGUGAUGUGCAGAUUCAUCUAACAGUGUUAAACUUUUAUUUUGAUUCCACAGUUUUGACACCCUAUUUGUAGAAUAUAUGAAUGAACAUUUCUCAGCCCAUUGAGGCCUAUCAUGUGAAACCAAAUAUUUUAUAAUAAAAACUGGAAACAAGUG
Molecule: long non-coding RNA, 2489 nt
Filed under: Pan troglodytes (chimpanzee)
Lineage: Eukaryota; Metazoa; Chordata; Mammalia; Primates; Hominidae
Description: lincRNA
Source: RNAcentral